Molecule: ribosomal RNA, 135 nt
Filed under: Castor canadensis (American beaver)
Lineage: Eukaryota; Metazoa; Chordata; Mammalia; Rodentia; Castoridae
Source: RNAcentral
GUCUACAGCAGUACCACCCUAAAUGUGCCCAAUCUCGUCUGGUCUCAGAAGCUAAGCAGGGUCGGGCCUGGUUAGUACUUGGAUGGGAGACAGAUCUUUAGAAGAGACUGCUCAGAGACAAGCAGUUUGGAGACA